RNAcentral lists this ribosomal RNA (1507 nucleotides) under human gut metagenome. RNAcentral describes it as "bacterial SSU rRNA". It matches the Rfam family "Bacterial small subunit ribosomal RNA". The record is from RNAcentral.
AGAGUUUGAUCCUGGCUCAGGAUGAACGCUAGCUACAGGCUUAACACAUGCAAGUCGAGGGGCAGCAUCAUCAAAGCUUGCUUUGAUGGAUGGCGACCGGCGCACGGGUGAGUAACACGUAUCCAACCUGCCGACAACACUGGGAUAGCCUUUCGAAAGAAAGAUUAAUACCGGAUGGCAUAGUUUUCCCGCAUGGGAUAAUUAUUAAAGAAUUUCGGUUGUCGAUGGGGAUGCGUUCCAUUAGGCAGUUGGCGGGGUAACGGCCCACCAAACCAACGAUGGAUAGGGGUUCUGAGAGGAAGGUCCCCCACAUUGGAACUGAGACACGGUCCAAACUCCUACGGGAGGCAGCAGUGAGGAAUAUUGGUCAAUGGACGAGAGUCUGAACCAGCCAAGUAGCGUGAAGGAUGACUGCCCUAUGGGUUGUAAACUUCUUUUAUACGGGAAUAAAGUUAGCCACGUGUGGCUUUUUGUAUGUACCGUAUGAAUAAGGAUCGGCUAACUCCGUGCCAGCAGCCGCGGUAAUACGGAGGAUCCGAGCGUUAUCCGGAUUUAUUGGGUUUAAAGGGAGCGUAGGCGGGUUGUUAAGUCAGUUGUGAAAGUUUGCGGCUCAACCGUAAAAUUGCAGUUGAUACUGGCGACCUUGAGUGCAACAGAGGUAGGCGGAAUUCGUGGUGUAGCGGUGAAAUGCUUAGAUAUCACGAAGAACUCCGAUUGCGAAGGCAGCUUACUGGAUUGUAACUGACGCUGAUGCUCGAAAGUGUGGGUAUCAAACAGGAUUAGAUACCCUGGUAGUCCACACAGUAAACGAUGAAUACUCGCUGUUGGCGAUAUACGGUCAGCGGCCAAGCGAAAGCAUUAAGUAUUCCACCUGGGGAGUACGCCGGCAACGGUGAAACUCAAAGGAAUUGACGGGGGCCCGCACAAGCGGAGGAACAUGUGGUUUAAUUCGAUGAUACGCGAGGAACCUUACCCGGGCUUAAAUUGCAACUGACUGAACCGGAAACGGUUCUUUCUUCGGACAGUUGUGAAGGUGCUGCAUGGUUGUCGUCAGCUCGUGCCGUGAGGUGUCGGCUUAAGUGCCAUAACGAGCGCAACCCUUAUCGAUAGUUACUAGCAGGUCAUGCUGAGGACUCUAUUGAGACUGCCGUCGUAAGAUGUGAGGAAGGUGGGGAUGACGUCAAAUCAGCACGGCCCUUACGUCCGGGGCUACACACGUGUUACAAUGGGGGGUACAGAAGGCAGCUACACGGCGACGUGGUGCUAAUCCCGAAAGCCUCUCUCAGUUCGGAUUGGAGUCUGCAACCCGACUCCAUGAAGCUGGAUUCGCUAGUAAUCGCGCAUCAGCCACGGCGCGGUGAAUACGUUCCCGGGCCUUGUACACACCGCCCGUCAAGCCAUGAAAGCCGGGGGUACCUGAAGUACGUAACCGCGAGGAGCGUCCUAGGGUAAAACUGGUGAUUGGGGCUAAGUCGUAACAAGGUAGCCGUACCGGAAGGUGCGGCUG